Long non-coding RNA from Pistacia vera, 1399 nucleotides. RefSeq lists it as uncharacterized. The transcript is spliced from 4 exons. Lineage: Eukaryota; Viridiplantae; Streptophyta; Magnoliopsida; Sapindales; Anacardiaceae. The record is from RefSeq and is a predicted model, not a curated record.
UAUUUUUAGCUUACACAAACAAAGAGUUUUCAAGAAUGGGCCAAGAUGAUGAGGACCCAGAAAAGCGUGGGUCAAAAUCAUCAACGCCGUACAAAUGGUUGAGCAACUUUCACCAUGAUCUGGUGGCGGGGGCGGUUAUGGGCGGUGUAGUGCACACGAUUGUGGCCCCGAUCGAGGGAGCGAAACUAUUGUUGCAGACCCAAGACAGCAACCUGACCAUUGUUGGCAGUGGACGAAGAAAAUUUAAGGGUAUGCUUGAUUGUAUUGUUCGUAUAGUCCGAGAAGAAGGCCUUUUUAUCUCUUUGGAGAGGCAAUGGUAGCAGUGUGCUUCGUUAUUACCCUUCUGUUGCACUUAAUUUCUCUUUUAAGUAUUUCCGAGUAAAGAAAAUGGGAAUGCGAUUGACCUGCAAGUCAGACCACCGGGACCUGGAACAGGACAGCCACACUUGUCUUUGCAGUGAACCAUACCUCCUCCCUUUAAUACGUCUGCCAUAAUCUUUUUCCUUCUCUUUGAUUCAGGUUUAAGUUAUUGUGCCUUCUCUGUUAGCUAGCAUUUUUGUUUCUAUCAACUCAUGUUCCAUGUUCUUCUGUUAAACACACAGGUGGCACAAACAGCUGAUUGAUUCAUGGUUUUCAUGGCCUCGCCAUUUCAUGCAUUAGAGACAAUGCCAACAAGUGUACAUGUUCAAUUUUUUACGAAAUUUAAGCCCAAUUGCUUCUCUAAAGCUUAGUUAUAUACAAUUAAAAGAAAACACUUGAAAACAGAAACCUCUUUUGUGGCCCUGCUAUAACAAUUACUUGGUGUUACCAAAGGAGAUUAAUUUCCCAGCAGGAUUAACAAUUGAAGGAUUUAGAAUCUGAUGCACAAUUUCCUCAAAUUCAUUAGUUUCUAUAAUCUGAGUGCAUAAACAUCUAGUAGAAUGGUAAACUUAAUUUGUAGAAUCUCUUGAGCAUAUGAAACUCUGUUAUCAUCCGGAACUCUAGUACAUACUUAAUACUUUGUCGGUAUAAAAUGAACCGAAUGUAAUUUUGGCUAAACAAUUUCGAUGCAGAUACCUUAAUACUUUGUCAGUUAUUCAAGGUACCACUUUUGCAUAAAUAUAGAUGGAGUGAUAUUACUGUGGAGGCUGAAAGUAGUAAAAUCUCUAAUGAAAUCGAGUCUCUUACAGAUCCCGUGUAGAAGAUUCCAAUAGACUGGAGAGUGAUCUUGAAGAGUUGAAUUGCUCUUUGGAUUUAGGUGCAUCACAGUUGGGUCAAGGGAAGGCUAUAGAGGUUCCACAGGCUGAUUGCUCUAAAGAUGGAGAAGAUCGAUCAGAUAUGAUAAAAAUUCAUGAAGACCAGAAAUUUGAGGUGUUAAUCCUGAACACUUUUGUUUAGUGCUUCCAUGAUUGGUUUGUGA